This 106-nucleotide ribosomal RNA is filed under the name uncultured bacterium. RNAcentral describes it as "partial 16S ribosomal RNA". It matches the Rfam family "Bacterial small subunit ribosomal RNA", at positions 1367 to 1482 of the family's 1533-position model. The record is from RNAcentral.
UACGUUCCCGGACCUUGCACACACCGCCCGUCAAGCCAUGGAAGCUGGGUGUACCUAAAGUCAGUAACCGCAAGGAGCUGCCUAGGGUAAAACUAGUAACUGGGCU